GAUGAACGCUAGCGAUAGGCUUAACACAUGCAAGUCGAGGGGCAGCACAAGGUAGCUUGCUAUCUGGGUGGCGACCGGCGCACGGGUGCGUAACGCGUAUGCAACUUGCCCUAUACAGGAGGAUAACCCGUCGAAAGACGGACUAAUACUGCGUAUGCUCACAACUUGGCAUCAAGUGGUGAGGAAAGAAAUUCGGUAUAGGAUAGGCAUGCGUCCCAUUAGCUUGUUGGCGAGGUAACGGCUCACCAAGGCAACGAUGGGUAGGGGAACUGAGAGGUUUAUCCCCCACACUGGUACUGAGACACGGACCAGACUCCUACGGGAGGCAGCAGUGAGGAAUAUUGGUCAAUGGGCGCGAGCCUGAACCAGCCAAGUCGCGUGAAGGAUGACUGUCUUAUGGAUUGUAAACUUCUUUUAUACGGGAAUAACAAGAGUCACGUGUGACUCCCUGCAUGUACCGUAUGAAUAAGCAUCGGCUAACUCCGUG
Molecule: ribosomal RNA, 487 nt
Filed under: uncultured bacterium
Lineage: Bacteria
Description: partial 16S ribosomal RNA
Rfam family: Bacterial small subunit ribosomal RNA
Source: RNAcentral